Long non-coding RNA from Ahaetulla prasina, 2133 nucleotides. RefSeq lists it as uncharacterized. The record is from RefSeq and is a predicted model, not a curated record. The transcript has 4 exons. NCBI's taxonomy places the organism in Eukaryota, Metazoa, Chordata, Lepidosauria, Squamata, Colubridae.
GCAGAAAAAGAAGAAUCAAGAAAUUAGAGUAACCCAAUGUAGGAAAAUGUUAAUAUUAUGAUAAAAGUCAGCAACAACAUAAUAUUAAUGGAUGACUUUGAGAGAAGUGUCACUUCUCUCUCCCACACACACAAAAACCGUGUGUUAGAUUUUAGUUAUUCUUACUUUAAAUGCAAAUCUAAAAUAUAUUUCUGUAAAUGUACAUUAAUUCAGUUAAUUUCUGGAUGACUGCAAAAAAAAUCUACCCCGGUUUCUGCUGCACCAUUUGCUGCCUAUGUUGUGCUGUAGCCACUUUUUCUUUAAGGGAGCUUUUUCUUCAGUGCAAAAAAGCUGCAGAAAGCUUUUCUUUUCUUUUUUCUACCACUCAGCCUGGCAGGCACUUAGCAAAGGAGAUAUAAUUCCGUGGAGUGGCGUCUCCAGGUGGAAAUAAGAAGCCAAGAGUUUACAGAAUUUUCUUCUUCCCUGAUAGAGAACGCCUGCCUCCCACUGUCUGUGCAGCAGCUGUUAUGAUUAAGCAGCAUUGGCUUCCGACUCCUUUUGGUGCAGUAGAAUAAGCUAUCCUAUUGCUUCCUUGCUGUGCUGCCCCAAGAGGGAUUUGUACAUCAUCUGCCUGACACAGAAGCAUUCCAGGAUUGUUAGCAUAAUGCUGGGACCUAUCGCAAGAGGUUGAUAUUCAGGUGACUUACCAGAUUCGGAAACUGGGAACAACCCAAGUGAACAGCCAUUUUUAACUCUCCUUUUAAAAGCUGGUUUAUCUCCUUUCUGGCUAUGGGAAGCAGCUCAUCUCAUCUAAUCUAUGCAAUGGAAAUGCCUAGGAGAGGAGGUUCCUUACAUACCCCAUGUGUGGAAAGAAAAACCAGCUUUCCUGCUGAUAGGCACAACUAAGUUUAUAGCAACAGACCUGGAAAAUGCCCAAAGAAGCCUGAAUGGGCACUCCAUAACAAUAGAUAUAUGGUUAGCCCCACAAUGAUUAUCUUUUAAUGCAGUAGACUUCAAUAGGAACCUAGAAGGAGAAACUUCCACUUUGGGAAUUGUUGGCCAUAAAACUAGAUGGAAAUGGACUUGGGUAGCCUUCAUCAACCAUGAUGCCUGCUUUUUUUUUCUCAUGCCUUUCGUGUGGACCACUGCAGAUGCUGACAAGACCAAUCAGCAUUUCAACUACAAGCGCACCAUAUAUUGUAUUCCACCUCCAGUGAAUACAGUCAACUUAUCUAUGCAGUGGACUGGGCGUAGCACUUGUGAGGUUUGGAUAAUGGGGAUGAAUGUAAUCCUUAUUUACAUUUACAUUUUUUUCUGAAAGAGUUUCCCGCUCCAUAGAACAGAGGGACCAGACAUAGAACAUGGUAAACGUGACAUAGAACAUGUUAAACUAAAUAGUCGAUGUUACACCACGAUCACCUAUUGAGUUAGAAGGAUACACAACCAAUGGAGUGAAUCCCUUUGUUGAGAGUUCCUGAAUAUAUCACGACCCUGUCUUGCUUGAUGCAUCUUAUUGCUCACUCACAAGAAUGAUUCAUGAAGAUGUAAAUGUCUGGAUGUUUACUCUUUUUUUUCCUGAUAUGGGUGACACUUAUUAUGUGUAUCGCAAGUCUCCCCACAUCACAAGCAAUUGGGUUGAUUUUUAAAGUCUGCUCUGAUACAAGGCAGACAAACUCUGAAGGAUAGUUCAUCUUAGAUGUGUGGGCCUGCAGUUUAUAAAGUGUUACUUCAUACAUGGUAUGGUGUGUGUACUCUGGGGACUUUUAUUUCCAGGAUUACGGGUAUAUGCAUAUACAUAUGCAUAUGCUCAGCUUUUAGGAUGACAUCCCAACUUCCAUUAUUGCAUUAAGGGAAAUACCUCUUCCAUUCUGUGUUGUGUUGGUAUUUGCCUAGUUUAGGGUUGCUGAAUUAGCACUUGUCCUUCUCCAUAUUUCUGCAUCAUUUCAAAUCUAUCACCAUGUUAUAGCCAGUGCCACUAGGAUUCAAUUGCAUUCAAUGCAUUAGGAUUUAAUGCACUAGGAUUUAAAUGCAUUUAAUUGCAUUAAAUGGAAAUACCCCUUUCAUUCUGUGUUGUGUUGGUAUUUGCCUAGUUUAGGGUUGCUGAAUUAGCACUUGUCCUUCUCCAUAUUUCUGCAUCAUUUCAAAUCUAUCCCC